AGGUGAUGAAAUAAACGUUUUAUUGCCGGAAGUAAAGUUCAGUUAACCAUUACGCUACUAUUAUCUAGGUGUGUUUGCCUAUAGAGCGGUGUAUUGCAUAGCUGUCGAGCCUCACUGCUCCUGACACUAAGACUGCAGUGUUAUCAUCGUUGUGUCCACACAGUCUUCUUAAAGCCACAGAUGAUGAAGAUGCUGCUCAUGCUGGGGUUCCUCCUGACUCGGGAGUCAUCUGCACAACGUGUCCUGAAUCAAUAUGAUAAACCAAAGUCUGUUCGUCUGGGAGACAGAGUGUCUAUCAGUGCUGUUGCAAGUUCAACCAGUAUUGAUGAUGAUAUGAGCUGGUACCUCAUGAAACCUGGACAGGCUCCUAAACUCCUCAUCUAUAAAGGAAAAACCCUUCAGUCUGGAACACCAUCUAGAUUCAGUGGCAGUAGAUCAGAAACCAGGACAACCAUGACUCUGAUCACCAUCUUCAUCUGGACACUGAUCUGCUGCUGCCUCAAAGGAUCCAGAGGUCAGGUGACUGUGACUCAGCCUCCUGUAGUGACAUGUUCUCCAGGAGACCCCGUCACUCUGACCUGUACAACCAACCCUGAAGUGUACAGAUUCAGUGAUGGAGAUUAAGCCUUGUCCUGGUAUCAACAGAGACCUGGAGAAGCUCCCAAACUCCUGAUAAAAUACGCGAAGAAACGGCUAGGUGGGAUUCCUGCUAGAUUCAGUGGCAGUGGGUCUGAGAGGGACUUCACUCUGACCAUCAGUGGAGUCCAGGUUGAAGAUGCAGCAGUUUACUACUGUCAGAGUUAUCAUGAGCUCAAUGAUUAAGCUCUGUUCACACAGUGAUUUAGAGACGUACAAAAACCUCCUGUACAAAAUGACAAACAUCACUGGUCCAUUGAACACAGAACAAAGGGUCUUGUUAUAUGACAUCACCAAGUAUAUCCACUUUACUAACUCACAGAAAUAAUGCUUACAAACUAGUUUCAUGACCCUCCCAACCUCCCAUGUCUACAAAUGUUCUCUAUUUCAGGAAGAUACAGGUGAAAUAGUCCCAUUGAGGAGGAAUAAUCUGUAUCAUGUCAACAUAAGAUCAUGUGUGAAGCAAGAAGGUUGGUGUGCCUCAAUGCUUGGUUGACCAACCGGACACACACAGCUUGCCAACACUUCCGUGGAGCAGUAUUGAGUGUGUGUGUAAGUGCAUGCGUGUGUUUGACUGAGAGAGAGCCCUGUGAAACAGAAACUUCGUUUUGCAUGGCCACUCUCCCAGAAUAGAGCAGUACACUCCCCAGAUGUUCCCCCAUCCUUAACACGACACCAGAGCUAGACCAGAGGAGGUCAAAGAUCAAAGUCAGAGGUUAGAUGUCAGUCACAGGCCAUUUUAUGUUCCUUCUUAUCAGAAAGAUACAGGUAAAACAUUCCUAUUGAGGAUAAAUAAUCCAUAUUAUGUCAACAUAAAAUCAUGUGUGAAGCUAAAUGUUCCUAAGUGUUGGUGAGACUCAAUGCUUGACAGACCAACCAGACACACACAUCUGCCAAGACUUCUGUGGAG
Molecule: non-coding RNA, 1546 nt
Organism: Salmo salar (Atlantic salmon)
Lineage: Eukaryota; Metazoa; Chordata; Actinopteri; Salmoniformes; Salmonidae
Source: the annotation of a RefSeq genome assembly